AGCUCCAAUAGCGUAUAUUAAAGUUGUUGCAGUUAAAAAGCUCGUAGUUGGAUUUCUGGCAGGGGGCAACAGCCCGCUUGCAGCGUGUGCUUGCCGUCCCCUACCAUCCUUCUGUUAACGCGCCAGGACAUUCACUUGUCGGGCGCGGGCUCAGAUAAUUUACCUUGAGAAAAUUAGAGUGUUUCAGGCAGGCUGACGCCGGGAUACAUUAGCAUGGAAUAAUGGAAUAGGACUUUCGCCUCUUCUGUUGGUCUGAGGGGUGAUCGUAAUGAUUAAUAGGGAUAGUUGGGGGCAUUAGUACUUAACUGUCAGAGGUGAAAUUCUCGGAUUUGUUAAAGACUAACUUAUGCGAAAGCAUUUGCCAAGGAUGUUU
Molecule: ribosomal RNA, 373 nt
Filed under: uncultured eukaryote
Lineage: Eukaryota
Description: SSU rRNA
Rfam family: Eukaryotic small subunit ribosomal RNA
Source: RNAcentral